GCAAGAGUGCAUGAAACACUCUGUCUCAAUCUUAGUCACUUGCUUACCACUGGAGUUGUGAGUCAUAAUCAAAACACACUGACUCAGAGUAGUAAAGGAAAUGAUUCUCUAAGAGAAGGGGAGAAUGGACUCUGGGAAGAUAAAUACAGCAGAUGUUUACCAUAGGAACAGAAGACCAGGGGGGAUUGUCUGUGCUAUUUUCUGCAUCCAUAAAAUACGAAAGGAUAUUCUAGCCAAAGGGGAUGGAGUGGAAGUUUACUCAUGUAUCAGUUCUUAUCCUGGGUAGAAGAUGUAUUGGGUACAACAUAAAGAACUAUUUGCAUCUCUGAAUUUGCUCAGCCUGCCAGAGAAACUGCUUAUUUCACAGAUGGAUGUUGAGGCUAUAGAUGCUUCCUUGAAAUGGAAGGAUUACUGCCUUAGUCAGGUUCCCUUGAAGAAUGUAUUUUGUUUGUAUUUUGAUGCCUAGACUUAAAAAGCAUGAGCAUGGGCUAUCCUUAAUAUGAGGAUAUUAACUCUUCAUUGUUUCCAUUUGCAUUCAGUAUAGUGUAUUACGCAGAAACAUAGCAGUACC
Molecule: long non-coding RNA, 571 nt
Filed under: Capra hircus (goat)
Lineage: Eukaryota; Metazoa; Chordata; Mammalia; Artiodactyla; Bovidae
Description: lncRNA (ENSCHIG00000007002.1)
Source: RNAcentral